GAUGAACGCUGACAGAAUGCUUAACACAUGCAAGUCUUUGGCGAAUCUGUGCUUGCACCGGCUAGCCAAGGCGGACGGGUGGGUAACGCGUAAAGAACUUGCCCUGCAGACAGGGAUAACAGACGGAAACGACUGAUAACACCUGAUACAGUUGCCGGCACGCAUGUGCCUGGCAAUGAAAAGAGAUGCUGCAGGAGAGCUUUGCGUCCUAUUAGCUUGUUGGUGAGGUGACGGCUCACCAAGGCGAUGAUAGGUAGCCGGCCUGAGAGGGUGAACGGCCACAAGGGGACUGAGAUACGGCCCUUACGCCUACGGGAGGCAGCAGUGGGGAAUAUUGGACAAUGGGGGCAACCCUGAUCCAGCAAUUCUGUGUGCACGAAGAAGGUUUUCGGAUUGUAAAGUGCUUUCAGCAGGGAAGAAGAAAGUGACGGUACCUGCAGAAGAAGCGACGGCUAAAUACGUG
RNAcentral lists this ribosomal RNA (463 nucleotides) under uncultured bacterium. RNAcentral's name for it is "partial 16S ribosomal RNA". It matches the Rfam family "Bacterial small subunit ribosomal RNA", at positions 28 to 507 of the family's 1533-position model. The record is from RNAcentral.